RNAcentral lists this transfer RNA (70 nucleotides) under Dipodomys ordii (Ord's kangaroo rat). It matches the Rfam family "tRNA". Rfam says of the family: Transfer RNA (tRNA) molecules are approximately 80 nucleotides in length. Their secondary structure includes four short double-helical elements and three loops (D, anti-codon, and T loops). Further hydrogen bonds mediate the characteristic L-shaped molecular structure. tRNAs have two regions of fundamental functional importance: the anti-codon, which is responsible for specific mRNA codon recognition, and the 3' end, to which the tRNAs corresponding amino acid is attached (by aminoacyl-tRNA synthetases). tRNAs cope with the degeneracy of the genetic code in two manners: having more than one tRNA (with a specific anti-codon) for a particular amino acid; and 'wobble' base-pairing, i.e. permitting non-standard base-pairing at the 3rd anti-codon position. Lineage: Eukaryota; Metazoa; Chordata; Mammalia; Rodentia; Heteromyidae. The record is from Rfam by way of RNAcentral.
GGGAAUGUGACUUAGUGGUAGAGUGCUUGCCUAACAUGCAUUAAGGCUUGGGUUCUAUUCCACAAUACCA